Molecule: unclassified non-coding RNA, 1306 nt
Filed under: Zea mays
Lineage: Eukaryota; Viridiplantae; Streptophyta; Magnoliopsida; Poales; Poaceae
Description: misc RNA Zm00001eb022850
Source: RNAcentral
GUUUUUUUUUCUCUCGAGGCGGGUAAAAUAAUCCAACACACAAAUCCCUCCCAGCCCACGCGGCACGCCGCCGCUUGCCUGGCCACCGCGGCGUGCCACACGUCCUCCCGCGCCAGCGCCAGCCUCCUCCGUCUAAACCUCACCGGCUCACCGCUCUCUAGAACCCGAACGCCUCCUUCGUUCAGCAAUCAGCAGUUGGCCAGUUACCGACCGCUUCCAGCAUCCAGCCAAGCCCGCGAGCCGCACGCCGCUCCUGCUCCCGCUCCCGCUCCGAGCGCCUCAGGCCAUGUCAGGCGGCGUCGGCCCGACGGCGGGGGGCGGCAUCACGCUGCCAUCCAUGGGCGCGCCCCCGCCGCCGCUGCACCCGACGCCCACGUCGCCGACGACGCGCCCGCACCACCACUACUACCUCUUCUCCAUCAAGCAGCUCAACACGCUGGGCGCGGCGGCCGUGCUUGCCUUCUCCACCACGGUCCCGCUCUCGGAGAUCGCCUUCGCGGUGCUCCUCCCCCCCUACCUCCUCGUCCUCGCCUGGCUCGCCUUCCCGCAGCGCCCGGGGAAGCCCAACCCGGCCGCGCCCGUCUUCCCGGGCGUCGGCGGGCGGCUCCGCCUCGCCUUGCACACCGCGGUGGGGUUCGUCGUCGGCGCCGCGCUCCCGGCGCUCUACAUCCUCGACGGCCUCCGGGCCGGGGACACGGCCGGCGUCGCCGCCGCGGCCCCGCACGCGUUCCUCCUCUCCGCGCAGGUGUUCACCGAGGGCAUCGCGGCGGCGUGGCCCGGCACCUUCUCGCUCCCCGUCAGGGCCGCCGUGCCCGUGAUGUACAGCGCGCGCAGGAUGUUCGCGGCGUCCGAGUGGCUGCGCCAGGAGCUGCAGGAGCGGGACGACCUCGGGCGCGGCCCGCCCGUGCCGCCGCGGCGGGUGGUGGCCGGCAGGGCGCUCGCGGCAGCCAACCUCGCCUUCUGGGGGCUCAACCUCUUCGCCUUCCUGCUGCCCUUCUACCUGCCCAGGGCACUCAGGAGAUACUAUCUCGGCAACGACCAUGAGGAUGACGGCGGCGCACGCGCGCACUCGAAGCAGCAGCAGCAGCAGCAACAGGGUGAAGCGAAGAAGGAUUCGUAGAUCAGGGUAAAAUAGACGUGGAACAAGCUGUACUACUGCCUCUGUGCCUGCAUUAUGUAUGCCAGUAGCUUAUCUUGUUUGAUGCAUACAAAACUUUCCAUGUUAUUACCAGCAGAGAAACGCUUACAAACUGCUAAUAUCUUCUAGUACUACCAACAAUUUUAUUCAAUGAAUCUAUCUAUAAAC